UACACAAAUGCAAUACCAAAUUGCUAGCAAGCCCUGGCAAAACCCUAGAUUACUUUGUGUUUAUAUUUACUGAAAUUGCCCCUUCUUUGGAGCCAAAAUGCAAGGUCAUGUGAUCCUCCAAUCCACCAAACAACCAACCAAUUAGAGACAAGCACAACUAUGAUACUCCAUCAUGCAAUUAACCAAUCAGAUUUGUAGGGUUUGCAAGCAACUGUGAUACUCCACAUGACCAUGUCUCCCAAAUCAAAACUUCUUUCUCUUCUUUUCUCAUAACCAUCGGUUCUCUCUCUCUCUCUCUCUCUCGUUUUUUAUUGAUCACAAGAAAUCGAAGUUGUAACGUUUCAAUUAAGAUGGAAAUCGGUAGAAGGAGAUAGGUGCUGGUAUAGUAACGUUCUUGAAGCAUAAGUUUACUGGCUAUGGAGGAAUCGUAUGUGGAUUUGGCAGAGAACUUAGUAGGGUCAGGAGUGAAGGUUAGAAAAUUUAGAGCGGACGGUGAUGGAAAAGAAUGUGCAAAGAGUGAACUAGGUUGGGAAGCUUCCCCACAAUACUCUUCUUUCCCCAAACACUCUUCCCGGCUGAUUAAGUAUCCUUCAGAAAAGAGAGAAGUUGAUUCAUUGAUGGCAUUUGUGAAUGCUUUAAGGGUUGUAAGUAAUCUGUCAUAGAUGGAUGAUCUUGCGACUUGAGACAAAUAUGAUCCACUUUUGAUUGUGGGAACAAAUUAUGUUAGCAUCAGAGUGCUUCAACUUUGGUGUUCUGAGGUGUGAUACGGCUGUAAUUUUCGUUGCAGCUUUGGGUCCGUUUUGAGGUGAGCUAAGGCUGUUGUUCUUCAACCGAUCAAGGGGCAACUCUGAGCAAGGGGUUUAACAGAGGAUUAGGGACAUUCUCAGCUGGAGGACUUGCUGUUGGAAUGGGAGAGUUAUCAGCAUUGGCUGAAGAAUGGGAAGAAAUUAUAGUUAUUAGUAGUACAUUCAUUGUUGGAUUCUGUGCUACUUAUGCAAAACUCUACCCUACUUUGAAGCCAUAUCAAUAUGGUUUCCGUGUGUUCUUGAUCACUUAUUGCUACAUGUUUUAUUCAAAGAGCAUAUUUUUGUCUCUCAUUUUUUAUUGUCACGAACAUUGCUAAGUACUGGUGGAAUUAUGCGGUGGACUUUUAUAUGUUGUUUACUUUUUUUUUUUUUUGGUUCAAGUAAUAUGAAGAUCAAGUAGUGAUGGAACUAUAUGUAGUGUAAUCUUCUGUUUUGUUCAACUCUUUUGGUUUGAGCGAUUUGAAGAUCUCAGUUUUGAA
Molecule: RNA transcript, 1285 nt
Organism: Medicago truncatula (barrel medic)
Lineage: Eukaryota; Viridiplantae; Streptophyta; Magnoliopsida; Fabales; Fabaceae
Exons: 5
Source: RefSeq, a predicted model, not a curated record